This 254-nucleotide long non-coding RNA is filed under the name Gossypium raimondii (Peruvian cotton). RNAcentral's name for it is "long non-coding RNA (GRAI_LNC010403)". Lineage: Eukaryota; Viridiplantae; Streptophyta; Magnoliopsida; Malvales; Malvaceae. The record is from RNAcentral.
CUUCUGGUAGGGUUAUUUUAUUUUAGGGUUAGGUUUUUUAUUUUUUGUUAAGGUAGGAUUAGUGUUUAGUGUUUUUUAAUUUUUUUUAAGUUUUUUAUAUAACCUUUAGACUUUUUAUAAUUUUUUGAGUUAUAAAAUUAAUAUUAUAUUUAAAAUUUUGAAAUUAUUUAUAGCCCAAUUUGGUCUAAUUUUCAGAAAAGAUAGCUACCAAAAGGGUAUUUACAACAAUCAUAUUUACACCAAUUGUAUAUUCG